UCAUCAACCCUGUGACAUACCUAAAACGUUGCCUCGGCGGGAACAGACGGCCCCGUAACACGGGCCGCCCCCGCCAGAGGACCCCCUAACUCUGUUUCUAUAAUGUUUCUUCUGAGUAAACAAGCAAAUAAAUUAAAACUUUCAACAACGGAUCUCUUGGCUCUGGCAUCGAUGAAGAACGCAGCGAAAUGCGAUAAGUAAUGUGAAUUGCAGAAUUCAGUGAAUCAUCGAAUCUUUGAACGCACAUUGCGCCCGCCAGUAUUCUGGCGGGCAUGCCUGUUCGAGCGUCAUUACAACCCUCAGGCCCCCGGGCCUGGCGUUGGGGAUCGGCGGAAGCCCCCUGCGGGCACAACGCCGUCCCCCAAAUACAGUGGCGGUCCCGCCGCAGCUUCCAUUGCGUAGUAGCUAACACCUCGCAACUGGAGAGCGGCGCGGCCACGCCGUAAAACACCCAACUUCUGAAUGU
This is a ribosomal RNA of 466 nucleotides. The stretch from base 137 to 290 matches the Rfam family "5.8S ribosomal RNA".